AUUGAACGCUGGCGGCAGGCCUAACACAUGCAAGUCGAACGGUAACAGGAAACAGCUUGCUGUUUCGCUGACGAGUGGCGGACGGGUGAGUAAUGUCUGGGAAACUGCCUGAUGGAGGGGGAUAACUACUGGAAACGGUAGCUAAUACCGCAUAACGUCGCAAGACCAAAGAGGGGGACCUUCGGGCCUCUUGCCAUCGGAUGUGCCCAGAUGGGGUUAGCUAGUAGGUGGGGUAACGGCUCACCUAGGCGACGUUCCCUAGCUGGUCUGAGAGGAUGACCAGCCACACUGGAACUGAGACACGGUCCAGACUCCUACGGGAGGCAGCAGUGGGGAAUAUUGCACAAUGGGCGCAAGCCUGAUGCAGCCAUGCCGCGUGUAUGAGGAAGGCCUUCGGGUUGUAAAGUACUUUCAGCGGGGAGGAAGGGAGUAAAGUCAAUACCUUUGCUCAUUGACGUUACCCGCAGAAGAAGCACCGGCUAACUCCGUGCCAGCAGCCGCAGUAA
Molecule: ribosomal RNA, 506 nt
Filed under: uncultured bacterium
Lineage: Bacteria
Description: partial 16S ribosomal RNA
Rfam family: Bacterial small subunit ribosomal RNA
Source: RNAcentral